GAAAUGCGAUAAGUAAUGUGAAUUGCAGAAUUCAGUGAAUCAUCGAAUCUUUGAACGCACAUUGCGCCCGCCAGUAUUCUGGCGGGCAUGCCUGUUCGAGCGUCAUCACAACCCUCAGGCCCCCGGGCCUGGCGUUGGGGAUCGGCGGAAGCCCCCUGCGGGCACAACGCCGUCCCCCAAAUACAGUGGCGGUCCCGCCGCAGCUUCCAUUGCGUAGUAGCUAACACCUCGCAACUGGAGAGCGGCGCGGCCACGCCGUAAAACACCCAACUUCUGAAUGUUGACCUCGAAUCAGGUAGGAAUACCCGCUGAACUUAAGC
Molecule: unclassified non-coding RNA, 320 nt
Filed under: plant metagenome
Description: partial contains 5.8S ribosomal RNA, internal transcribed spacer 2, and large subunit ribosomal RNA
Rfam family: 5.8S ribosomal RNA (bases 1-105)
Source: RNAcentral